AUACCUUUCUCGGCCUUUUGGCUAAGAUCAAGUGUAGUAUCUGUUCUUAUCAGUUUAAUAUCUGAUACGUUGGCCAUAGGCCUUCUCGAUAUUAACUCUAUUUUUUAAGGGAAGAAGUCUGUCAUGAUAGCUUGCUAUCUGGCCUUCCAUGAAUCGUCCAUGCGUUGCACUGCUGCAAGGCUUGGCUUAACCCAC
Brassica napus (rape) is the source of this 195-nucleotide non-coding RNA. The record is from Rfam. NCBI's taxonomy places the organism in Eukaryota, Viridiplantae, Streptophyta, Magnoliopsida, Brassicales, Brassicaceae.